Molecule: long non-coding RNA, 506 nt
Organism: Engraulis encrasicolus (European anchovy)
Lineage: Eukaryota; Metazoa; Chordata; Actinopteri; Clupeiformes; Engraulidae
Exons: 2
Source: RefSeq, a predicted model, not a curated record
CCCCUCCCACCCGAAUAUGACAUGGCGUCCCCAGCAGAAAUAUUGAACCCACUUUUCAGCUGUGGAACUGGUCGACACAGAAACCCUUGAUUGUCAUAAAAACAGCAACACAAGUUCAAAUGGAACUGGUGAUCGACAAACCAUGGACGCUGAAGAAAGGCUCCUCGACGCCAAGCUGUCAUCCGGAAGAUUGAAGAUGAAGAUUGCCGUGUCGAGCAGUCAUCAUGACCAUUUUUUUGCUGAUCCCCCCCAGUUUUUGAAAAGAUUCAGAAUACAAAAUCACUCUUAGAAGUAGACGGUAUGGUAAACAAACCAAAGUUAACACCUUUCAGUUAGUAAAACAUAGCUGGCCUACAGUAGGCUAUGACUAAACAUCUGGGUGUUUUGUAUGCUUGACAUAAAGAUUAAAAUGAAAUAUUCACCCUUAUGUUCAGCUUUUUAAACUUGCAAAUCAUGGAGUGGACAUUCUUCCCCAAGCUUGUAAGAAAUGCAUUACUUCAAUCACA